CGUUAUUCAAAAGUGGUCUAAUCCGGUUUGGCAACAAACAAACACGAAACCACACAAAAUUAAAGCAUCUUUAUUUUGUGUUAAUAAAAGCUACCCCCCUACUCAGACCCCAUCAUUAACAAUUAAAAAAACCCCCAACCAAACAAACAGAAAAAACCCCCCAACAACAAUAGGCUAGACCAAACCAAAAUUUCCAAUUUACUGUAAUUAGCAACUCCUGUGGUGCUGUGACAUAGAGAUGCCUUUAGAUUCUUCGAAGAGCCUUCACACCGCAACCACUGAAACAUCAAGAAUCCGAGAUGCUGAUUCAUUUAAAGCUGGAGGACAAACAGCUGACGAGGCGUCUGCAACAUCCCUGAAAAGGAGUACAGGAAAUAGUGGGGACUGAGCAAUCCGGGACUGAACUUCAUCCUCCAAGAUGACAACGCUCUCCUCCACAGAGUGGGCUUUAUCAGAGGCUACCUCGAGAAUUUGUGAGUCAAGAGGAUGGAAAGGCCUCUCUACAGUCAUGACCUCAACCUCACUGAACAAUUGUGGGAUCAGCUUGGGCGUGCUGUUCAUGCCAGACUGACCAACAUGACCACAUUGGCUGACUUGCACCAAAUGCUGGUUGAAGAAUGGGAUGCCUUCCCACACCAAUGUGUAACCAAGCUGGUGACCAGCAUGAGAAGGAGGUGCCAGGCUGUGUAUUGUUCUUUCACUACUGAGGCCCCAGUGAAUAAAUCGGUUUCUUCAGACUUAAACCAUUAAUAUCAAUAAAUGACACUUAAAAAAAGAGUCAAUUGCAGAAUAAGCUGUUUGACACUGGGAGAGAAGAUUUGGCAAGUUUUUCAUGGGUGCAAUGGGGAAAUAAGCAGGCUUUUUCAACAGUACAAGAUUUAUUGUUACAACAAGGAAUGAUCAACCAAA
Molecule: long non-coding RNA, 909 nt
Organism: Oreochromis niloticus (Nile tilapia)
Lineage: Eukaryota; Metazoa; Chordata; Actinopteri; Cichliformes; Cichlidae
Exons: 4
Source: RefSeq, a predicted model, not a curated record